This 327-nucleotide ribosomal RNA is filed under the name Triticum aestivum (bread wheat). RNAcentral describes it as "partial small subunit ribosomal RNA". Lineage: Eukaryota; Viridiplantae; Streptophyta; Magnoliopsida; Poales; Poaceae. The record is from RNAcentral.
AUGCCAUCUUUUGGACUAUGCUGCCAACAUGGCAAAGUUGAUUUGCCACCAUUAAGAGAUCCCCCAACUUACCUUGCGAAAUUGCUAAGGAAAGACAAUGGAAAGAGGUCAAAAAACUGCUUGCAAAAUAUCAGAUUGUACAACUCCAUGUUUACUUUCACAACAAUGGGAGGAAAAGCAGACAAACAAAUAAACAAUGGCAUUGGACCAUAUGUUCUUAGAAUGAAUGAGAAAAACUACCACAAAAUAGGUACUGUACUGCCUGAAGGUAAAGAUAAACCACAGUGGGCACAAUUGUACAUCUAUGACACUGGAAAUAAGGUAUGA